UAGGGAAUCUUCCACAAUGGACGCAAGUCUGAUGGAGCAACGCCGCGUGAGUGAAGAAGGUUUUCGGACCGUAAAGCUCUGUUGUUGGUGAAGAAGGAUAGAGGUAGUAACUGGCCUUUAUUUGACGGUAAUCAACCAGAAAGUCACGGCUAACUACGUGCCAGCAGCCGCGGUAAUACGUAGGUGGCAAGCGUUGUCCGGAUUUAUUGGGCGUAAAGCGAGCGCAGGCGGAAGAAUAAGUCUGAUGUGAAAGCCCUCGGCUUAACCGAGGAAUUGCAUCGGAAACUGUUUUCUUGAGUGCAGAAG
This 306-nucleotide ribosomal RNA is filed under the name uncultured bacterium. RNAcentral describes it as "partial 16S ribosomal RNA". It matches the Rfam family "Bacterial small subunit ribosomal RNA", at positions 355 to 654 of the family's 1533-position model. The record is from RNAcentral.